AGUAAAGUCAGCUAAAUAAGCUCUCGGGCCCAUACCCCGAAAAUGUUGAACGCUCAACCUUUAUUA
This 66-nucleotide transfer RNA is filed under the name Indotyphlops braminus (Brahminy blind snake). RNAcentral's name for it is "tRNA-Met". Lineage: Eukaryota; Metazoa; Chordata; Lepidosauria; Squamata; Typhlopidae. The record is from RNAcentral.